RNAcentral lists this ribosomal RNA (451 nucleotides) under uncultured bacterium. RNAcentral describes it as "bacterial SSU rRNA". It matches the Rfam family "Bacterial small subunit ribosomal RNA", at positions 354 to 796 of the family's 1533-position model. The record is from RNAcentral.
GUGGGGAAUUGUUCGCAAUGGGCGAAAGCCUGACGACGCAACGCCGCGUGGAGGAUGAAGGUCUUCGGAUUGUAAACUCCUGUUGAUCGGGAAGAACUCCCCUGGGAUUAAUACCUUCAGGGGUUGACGGUACCGGUUGAGGAAGCCCCGGCUAACUCUGUGCCAGCAGCCGCGGUAAUACAGAGGGGGCGAGCGUUGUUCGGAAUUACUGGGCGUAAAGGGCGCGUAGGCGGCCGACUAAGUCAGACGUGAAAUCCCCAGGCUCAACCUGGGAACUGCGUCUGAUACUGGCUGGCUUGAAUCCGGGAGAGGGAUGCGGAAUUCCAGGUGUAGCGGUGAAAUGCGUAGAUAUCUGGAGGAACACCGGUGGCGAAGGCGGCAUCCUGGACCGGCAUUGACGCUGAGGCGCGAAAGCCAGGGGAGCAAACGGGAUUAGAUACCCCGGUAGUCC